CGCAUCUUCGGCGUUGUGCUCGAAUCCUCUGGCAUAGGAUUUCAGAUAAUAGGUAAAAAGUGAUUCGUCGGUUCCAUCCGCUAGACGCGU
RNAcentral lists this transfer RNA (90 nucleotides) under Anaerolineaceae bacterium. Its description in RNAcentral is "tRNA-Ala". The record is from RNAcentral. Lineage: Bacteria; Bacillati; Chloroflexota; Anaerolineae; Anaerolineales; Anaerolineaceae.